GCUCAUCCUAACAGAAACAUGGGAACCAUCAAUCUUCCGCUGGGUUUCACGUCGACGCUGAAACAUGGUAGCAACAGCCGAGACGUAACUUUGAUCAUGCUAACGCAGGAAAACUUUAACGUAGGGGUCCGAGGUUCCUCCCAUGUCCAUGGCAGCGAGGUCCUGAGCCUGGAGGAUCCCCACUAUGAGCUUCAGCAGAAAGAAAAACGAAUCAAACGUGACGUUACAGCUGAAAACUGGAAGUUAUUCAUGCAUCUGUGAGUUCUGACAGAUUAGGGAUGCAAGUUAUCGUUCAAUGAGGAAACGUUUCUCCAUGAUUCACCGUGGAACAGCAGACGAGGUGAGACUGGCUGCGGAGCGAAAAGCAACCCACCUUUUCUCCGGACUCCCCGUCUCCUUCCUUCUCCUUCCUGCGCCGACCUCCGGCCUUCCUCCCCCUCUCUUUCUUCGGCUUUUUCUUUUUCCCAAAACAUUUUUUGAAAACGCAGAAGAUGAAGCAGGCCACCAGAACCAGGACCAGAACAACGAUGGCCGCCACUGCCCACACAGGAACUACAGAAGAGCGGCGAAUUAGCUCCUGCCAUUUGAGAUUUUUAAUCCCUUCAACUCUUUUAAAUUAACCGCAUUAUUUCACGUUGGUUUUAUUUGCUUCUGUCUCAUCCGCAGGGAUUUUCAGUGCAGCCACUUAUCUGCAGACAGUUUGCUGAGUGUGUUUGGUCAGUAAACACUUUCUUCCCCACAAUCAGAUAAUAACACUCCUGGAGCUGAGAGCAGACGAGUAAAAACAUCAUAAUUAUAAGUCAUUCCUUUCCCACUGUAAUCUUUAGCUUCACUGGAUCAUUUUGCUUUAACAGAACUGAUUCCUGAACACAUGAACACACAAACAUCUCAAAGACUUGAUGUUAUUGAACGUAUUGCACAUUCUGUUCAGCUAAAAAUGUAAAUUUGAUGCAUUUCAAUGGGAUUUUGUCAAAUAAACCAACACAAAGUGAUAAAUAAAAGUGAAAUUCUGCUGUAAAUAUUACACAACUGCUUAUAAUUUUUGAUAAAUAUCUACUACAGAACAUCGGUUCUCAUGUUUAAAGAACCAUCGUUUUAUUUCUGUUUUUAGACUUUAAAAUAAAGAUUUACGCAACAUUUUUAGAUACAUUUCUUCUAAGGGAUGUUGAUAUUUGUGGAAAAUGCAAAGAAAAAUUAUUCAUUUUAUUUCCUCUUAAGUUUAUUUAUAAUACUUUAUGUCUGUACGCUCUGAACUUUAUAUUUUUCGUUUGGGCAAAAUUUAAAUCAGCUUCAGAUUUUGGAUUCAGAAAACAUACAAAGUUGUGGCAGAUCUAUUCAGUCUAAUUCUAUGCUUUUUUAAAUUUAUUUUACAUUAUAUUUAGAAAUCUUAAUUGCACUUUCUGAACCAUUUGGAAGAAGGUUGGUCACAGUUGUCUUUAGAUGUUUCAGUUUCUUUACUACAUAUUUUAUAUUGGCUGUUCUAUUCUUAAUUGAACUGACUGAACAAAUUAAAGUUGUUUUUACAUGUUUGACCAAA
Long non-coding RNA from Xiphophorus hellerii (green swordtail), 1537 nucleotides. RefSeq lists it as uncharacterized. The record is from RefSeq and is a predicted model, not a curated record. NCBI's taxonomy places the organism in Eukaryota, Metazoa, Chordata, Actinopteri, Cyprinodontiformes, Poeciliidae. The transcript has 3 exons.